This is a long non-coding RNA of Ahaetulla prasina, 569 nucleotides long. RefSeq lists it as uncharacterized. The record is from RefSeq and is a predicted model, not a curated record. Lineage: Eukaryota; Metazoa; Chordata; Lepidosauria; Squamata; Colubridae. The transcript is spliced from 3 exons.
AGACAUUUCUUUGUGUGAGCUAGCCUUCCAGCUGGAGCACACUCAACACCUUUCCAUUUGCUGAAAAGGGAAAUGAUUCUUGAACCAAAUAAUGACUAUGGCUUUCAAUCAACAGUAUUUCCUAUGGUAUGAGUAAUCUCACAGUUCAAAGCCCAAGUUCUGUUAAAGGAAGGGAGAAGAUUGGCUGGAGUUCUGCCUGUUUCACUUGAAGUAUGUUGGUUGGCCAGGCAAACAAAAAAUGCAUGACAUCGUCAGCAAUAGCGACCUUUAUCUGAGUAUAAGGCAAUGAUAAGAUAUGGAGUAUGGAAUGAAAAAUGGCUUAUUAUAAAAUAAGAGUGAAAAUUACAGACCGAAAUCGAAUACAGAUAAGUGAAGAGUUCUCCAAUUAAGAAGAGAAAAAAAUCAACUGCAUGAGAGAUACCUGGCUUGAUAAUACAGUUACGACCUUGGUAUCAUCCCAGGAUCAUGUGAUCAAAAUUCAAAUGCUUGGUAACUGGUUCAUGCUUACGACUGUUGCUGUGUCCCAAGCUCACGUGAUCACCUUUUGCAACCUAAAAGGUGCUAAAAAG